AAAUUGAAGAGUUUGAUCAUGGCUCAGAUUGAACGCUGGCGGCAGGCCUAACACAUGCAAGUCGAACGGUAACAGGAAGCAGCUUGCUGCUUUGCUGACGAGUGGCGGACGGGUGAGUAAUGUCUGGGAAACUGCCUGAUGGAGGGGGAUAACUACUGGAAACGGUAGCUAAUACCGCAUAACGUCGCAAGACCAAAGAGGGGGACCUUCGGGCCUCUUGCCAUCGGAUGUGCCCAGAUGGGAUUAGCUAGUAGGUGGGGUAAAGGCUCACCUAGGCGACGAUCCCUAGCUGGUCUGAGAGGAUGACCAGCCACACUGGAACUGAGACACGGUCCAGACUCCUACGGGAGGCAGCAGUGGGGAAUAUUGCACAAUGGGCGCAAGCCUGAUGCAGCCAUGCCGCGUGUAUGAAGAAGGCCUUCGGGUUGUAAAGUACUUUCAGCGGGGAGGAAGGGAGUAAAGUUAAUACCUUUGCUCAUUGACGUUACCCGCAGAAGAAGCACCGGCUAACUCCGUGCCAGCAGCCGCGGUAAUACGGAGGGUGCAAGCGUUAAUCGGAAUUACUGGGCGUAAAGCGCACGCAGGCGGUUUGUUAAGUCAGAUGUGAAAUCCCCGGGCUCAACCUGGGAACUGCAUCUGAUACUGGCAAGCUUGAGUCUCGUAGAGGGGGGUAGAAUUCCAGGUGUAGCGGUGAAAUGCGUAGAGAUCUGGAGGAAUACCGGUGGCGAAGGCGGCCCCCUGGACGAAGACUGACGCUCAGGUGCGAAAGCGUGGGGAGCAAACAGGAUUAGAUACCCUGGUAGUCCACGCCGUAAACGAUGUCGACUUGGAGGUUGUGCCCUUGAGGCGUGGCUUCCGGAGCUAACGCGUUAAGUCGACCGCCUGGGGAGUACGGCCGCAAGGUUAAAACUCAAAUGAAUUGACGGGGGCCCGCACAAGCGGUGGAGCAUGUGGUUUAAUUCGAUGCAACGCGAAGAACCUUACCUGGUCUUGACAUCCACAGAACUUUCCAGAGAUGGAUUGGUGCCUUCGGGAACUGUGAGACAGGUGCUGCAUGGCUGUCGUCAGCUCGUGUUGUGAAAUGUUGGGUUAAGUCCCGCAACGAGCGCAACCCUUAUCCUUUGUUGCCAGCGGUCCGGCCGGGAACUCAAAGGAGACUGCCAGUGAUAAACUGGAGGAAGGUGGGGAUGACGUCAAGUCAUCAUGGCCCUUACGACCAGGGCUACACACGUGCUACAAUGGCGCAUACAAAGAGAAGCGACCUCGCGAGAGCAAGCGGACCUCAUAAAGUGCGUCGUAGUCCGGAUUGGAGUCUGCAACUCGACUCCAUGAAGUCGGAAUCGCUAGUAAUCGUGGAUCAGAAUGCCACGGUGAAUACGUUCCCGGGCCUUGUACACACCGCCCGUCACACCAUGGGAGUGGGUUGCAAAAGAAGUAGGUAGCUUAACCUUCGGGAGGGCGCUUACCACUUUGUGAUUCAUGACUGGGGUGAAGUCGUAACAAGGUAACCGUAGGGGAACCUGCGGUUGGAUCACCUCCUUACCUUAAAGAA
RNAcentral lists this ribosomal RNA (1552 nucleotides) under Escherichia coli O83:H1 str. NRG 857C. RNAcentral's name for it is "bacterial SSU rRNA". It matches the Rfam family "Bacterial small subunit ribosomal RNA". The record is from RNAcentral. Lineage: Bacteria; Pseudomonadati; Pseudomonadota; Gammaproteobacteria; Enterobacterales; Enterobacteriaceae.